This 354-nucleotide ribosomal RNA is filed under the name uncultured Azoarcus sp. RNAcentral describes it as "bacterial SSU rRNA". It matches the Rfam family "Bacterial small subunit ribosomal RNA", at positions 1026 to 1382 of the family's 1533-position model. The record is from RNAcentral. Lineage: Bacteria; Pseudomonadati; Pseudomonadota; Betaproteobacteria; Rhodocyclales; Zoogloeaceae.
GCCAGAACACAGGUGCUGCAUGGCUGUCGUCAGCUCGUGUCGUGAGAUGUUGGGUUAAGUCCGCAACGAGCGCAACCCUUGCCAUUAAUUGCCAUCAUUUAGUUGGGCACUUUAAUGGGACUGCCGGUGACAAACCGGAGGAAGGUGGGGAUGACGUCAAGUCCUCAUGGCCCUUAUGGGUAGGGCUUCACACGUCAUACAAUGGUCGGUGCAGAGGGUUGCCAAGCCGCGAGGUGGAGCUAAUCUCUUAAAGCCGAUCGUAGUCCGGAUCGUAGUCCGCAACUCGACUACGUGAAGUCGGAAUCGCUAGUAAUCGCGGAUCAGCAUGUCGCGGUGAAUACGUUCCCGGGUCUU